CCUACGGGUGGCAGCAGUGAGGAAUAUUGGUCAAUGGACGAGAGUCUGAACCAGCCAAGUAGCGUGAGGGAUGAAUGCCCUAUGGGUUGUAAACUUCUUUUAUAUGGGAAUAAAACGCUCCACGUGUGGGGUUCUGUAUGUACCGUAUGAAUAAGGAUCGGCUAACUCCGUGCCAGCAGCCGCGGUAAUACGGAGGAUCCGAGCGUUAUCCGGAUUUAUUGGGUUUAAAGGGAGCGUAGGCGGAUUGUUAAGUCAGUUGUGAAAAUCUGCGGCUCAACCGUAGAAUUGCAGUUGAAACUGGCAGUCUUGAGUACAGUACAGGCAGGCGGAAUUCGUGGUGUAGCGGUGAAAUGCAUAGAUAUCACGAAGAACUCCGAUUGCGAAGGCAGUCCACCGGACUGCAACUGACACUGAGGCUCGAAGGUGUGGGUAUCAAACAGGAUUAGAUACCCUAGUAGUC
This 460-nucleotide ribosomal RNA is filed under the name uncultured bacterium. Its description in RNAcentral is "partial 16S ribosomal RNA". It matches the Rfam family "Bacterial small subunit ribosomal RNA", at positions 338 to 795 of the family's 1533-position model. The record is from RNAcentral.